CUACCCACUACCAUACCCACUACCAUACCCCCUACCAUACCCAUUACCAUACCCACUACCCACUGCCAUACCCACUACCAUACCCAUUACCAUACCCAUUACCAUACCCACUACCAUACCCACUACCAUACCCCCAGGCCAUCCUCCAAAAGUCUUUGCCUCACUGUGCGUGCAGAUGCACUCACACAUGCCUGCUGCCAUUCCUGAGCAAGCUCUGUACUGGUGGUGCCCAGAUCCCGCAGCUGAAUCAACUUUAGGAGACGGUCCUGGCGCUUGCUGGACUUUCUUGGGCGCCCUGAAGCCUUCUUCACAACAAUUGAAUCGCUCUCCUUGAAGCUCUUGAUGAUCCUAUAAAUGGUUGAUUUAGGUGCAAUCUUACUGGCAGCAAUAUCCUUGCCUGUGAAGGCUGUUUCCUUGCAGGUAACCAUGUUUGACAGAGGAAGAACAAUGAUUCCAAGCACCACCCUCCUUUUGAAGCUUCCAGUCUGUUAUGCGAACUCAAUCAGCAUGACAGAGUGAUCUCCAGCCGUGUCCUCGUCAACACUCACACCUGUGUUAACGAGAGAAACACUGACAUGAUGUCAGCUGGUCCUUUUGUGGCAGGGAAGAAAUGCAGUGGAAAUGUUUUUUGGGGGGGAUUCAGUUCAUUUGCAUGGCAAAGAGGGACUUUGCAAUCAAUUGCAAUCAAUACACUGAUUGAAAUGGACUUAACAAGAGACGUCAAUAAGGGAUCAUAGCUUUCACCUGGUCAGUCCAGGGGCAGCACGGAGCCUAGUGGUUAGAGAGUUGGACUAGUAACCAAAAGGUUGCAAGAUUGAAUCCCUGAGCUGACAAGGUCUAAAUCUGUCCUUCUGCCCCUGAACAAGGCAGUUUGUUCUUAACUGACUUGCCUAGUUAAAUAAAGGUAAAAUAAAUGUCAUUGAAAGAACAGGUGUUCAUAAUGUUUUGUACACUCAGUGUAUAUGUAAAUAAUAUAAAUUAAAUGUAAACACACAUUGAAGUAAAUGUAAAGCCCAUUGAAGCGAAUGUAAUGCAUUUCAGCACAGGGUAUUACACCUGUCAAACUAAUCAAUCACUCACCACCAGCAUUUACUACAGGACUGAGGUCACGUCUCCGUGUUUCACAGCUGUGUUGUGAUUGGAUACGUUUUGCAGUUCUGGGCUCUCAUUGGAUGAGUUUGGCAGUUGUGGGCUUUCAUCUCACACUGUGUCAAUUGUUCCCAUUGAGUUAUUUGUUGUAAAUUGUCAUCAGUUGUCACUGUGUCAGACUGUCCUAUUAGGUCUCUGUUCUGUCUGUCACUGUGUCAGACUGUCCUAUUAGGUCUCUGUUCUGUCUGUCACUGUGUCAGACUGUCCUAUUAGGUCUCUGUUCUGUCUGUCACUGUGUCAGACUGUCCUAUUAGGUCUCUGUUCUGUCUGUCACUGUGUCAGACUGUCCUAUUAGGUCUCUGUUCUGUCUGUCACUGUGUCAGACUGUCCUAUUAGGUCUCUGUUCUGUCUGUCACUGUGUCAGACUGUCCUAUUAGGUCUCUGUUCUGUCUGUCACUGUGUCAGACUGUCCUAUUAGGUCUCUGUUCUGUCUGUCACUGUGUCAGACUGUCCUAUUAGGUCUCUGUUCUGUCUGUCACUGUGUCAGACUGUCCUAUUAGGUCUCUGUUCUGUCUGUCACUGUGUCAGACUGUCCUAUUAGGUCUCUGUUCUGUCUGUCACUGUGUCAGACUGUCCUAUUAGGUCUCUGUUCUGUCUGUCACUGUGUCAGACUGUCCUAUUAGGUCUCUGUUCUGUCUGUCACUGUGUCAGACUGUCCUAUUAGGUCUCUGUUCUGUCUGUCACUGUGUCAGACUGUCCUAUUAGGUCUCUGUUCUGUCUGUCACUGUGUCAGACUGUCCUAUUAGGUCUCUGUUCUGUCUGUCACUGUGUCAGACUGUCCUAUUAGGUCUCUGUUCUGUCUGUCACUGUGUCAGACUGUCCUAUUAGGUCUCUGUUCUGUCUGUCACUGUGUCAGACUGUCCUAUUAGGUCUCUGUUCUGACUGUCACUGUGUCAGACUGUCCUAUUAGGUCUCUGUUCUGACUGUCACUGUGUCAGACUGUCCUAUUAGGUCUCUGUUCUGUCUGUUACUGUGUCAGACUGUCCUAUUAGGUCUCUGUUCUGACUGUCCUAGCAGGUCUCUGUUCUGACUGUCCUAGCAGGUCUCUGUUCUGACUGUCCUAGCAGGUCUCUGUUCUGACUGUCCUAGCAGGUCUCUGUUCUGACUGUCCUAGCAGGUCUCUGUUCUGACUGUCCUAGCAGGUCUCUGUUCUGACUGUCUAGCAGGUCUCUGUUCUGACUGUCCUAGCAGGUCUCUGUUCUGACUGUCUAGCAGGUCUCUGUUCUGACUGUCUAGCAGGUCUCUGUUCUGACUGUCCUUGCAGGUCUCUGUUCUGACUGUCCUUGCAGGUCUCUGUUCUGACUGUCCUAGCGGGUCUCCACACCAUUCUGCGAGUACUAUUCUGUCUGUAAAGUCAAAUACCCUGGUUGCUCGUUUUAUGUUUUCUAUUGUAAACAAUGAGAUGCUUUUGGAAUAAAAGUAAUAAAAAACAUUCCAGUUAGCUACAGCUGUACCGCUGUGUGACUCUG
Long non-coding RNA from Oncorhynchus keta (chum salmon), 2618 nucleotides. RefSeq lists it as uncharacterized. Lineage: Eukaryota; Metazoa; Chordata; Actinopteri; Salmoniformes; Salmonidae. The record is from RefSeq and is a predicted model, not a curated record. The transcript is spliced from 4 exons.